RNAcentral lists this long non-coding RNA (775 nucleotides) under Serinus canaria (Common canary). RNAcentral's name for it is "lncRNA (ENSSCAG00000014002.1)". Lineage: Eukaryota; Metazoa; Chordata; Aves; Passeriformes; Fringillidae. The record is from RNAcentral.
GUUGAUAUUAUGGAGGGCAUUGAUAACCCGUGGGCAGAUGACAAAAAUGGAAGUCUGAAAAGCUUAGAGAAACCAGAGCACAUGAAUAAUGGGAGAAUUGAGGUGAUGUCAUUUGACAACCUGGAAGGCACCAGAGGAGAUGAUGCUGAAAAAGAUGAAAUUCAGGCCCCUGAAAAAGACAAUUACCUGGAGACAGUGCUGCUGUAUUACAAGGGUGAAAGUGGGGAAAAUGGAGCCCCUGAAAAAGCUGCUGAAAGUAGAAAUGUGGAGGUCCAGCCCACAGCGAGAUUCACAACAGAACAGGACUCCUUUCCAAGAGACACAAACCAGGAGCCAGCUCUCCCCUUAACACCUCAGCCCACACUGCCUGCCCCUGGGAAAGAGGUGAAAGGAGUGAAAUUUUCAGAGGUGGCAGUGAUUUUGGACCAUGAGCCUGGAGAUGAUGAGUCUGAAAACGAUGAAUUUGGUGAUGAUAUAUCCCUCUGAUAAGGACACUCGAUGAAGAACAUUUUUAGAAAAACCACAAUGAGACUCAUUGGAACAGCUCAGAAUUAAAUGAGCUAUAAGAAUAUGGGAAUGUUAUCCAGAUUUUAAUGUUGUUGCUAUUUUAAAGAUGGAUAAAGAAGACAACAAGCAAUGUGCGGGAAGGGCUGCAGUGCUGUGCUGCAGGGUUGCUUUCCCAGCAGCAGCGCUGUCUCACUGUGUAUUUAAUUUCUUCUGGCACGUGUCAAAUGGGCAAGACAAUAAACCCGAUUCCAGCGGCGCUGCCUUGUCA